RNAcentral lists this long non-coding RNA (391 nucleotides) under Sarcophilus harrisii (Tasmanian devil). RNAcentral's name for it is "lncRNA (ENSSHAG00000022484.1)". Lineage: Eukaryota; Metazoa; Chordata; Mammalia; Dasyuromorphia; Dasyuridae. The record is from RNAcentral.
UGCAGGAGGACCCCUGUUCUGCCCUAAUGGUCCAAGUUUUCUCUGAGGAUCUAUGAAAGAUGUACUAUCCCAGAAGUGACACUACUGCAUCUAUAUCCUAAGGAAAUGAUAAAGAAGGGGAAAGGACCCACAUGUGCAAAAAUGUUUACAGCAGCUCUUUUUGUGGUAAAGUACUGAAAAUGAGUAGAUGCAAUCAAUUGGGAAUGGCUGAAUAAGUUAUGUGAUUCAGUGAUUCAAAGCAAUCCUAAUAGACACUGGACAGAAAAUGUCAUCUGUAUCUGGAAAAAGAACUAUGGAGAAUGAAUAUAAAAGCAACACAUGCUAUGUUCACUUCUUUGUUCUGUUUUUUUUUUCUCCCAUGGUGUUUUCAUUUUGUUCUGAUCUUUCUCUC